This 436-nucleotide ribosomal RNA is filed under the name Elachistocleis surinamensis group sp. ABGD cluster 15. Its description in RNAcentral is "partial large subunit ribosomal RNA". It matches the Rfam family "Bacterial large subunit ribosomal RNA", at positions 1808 to 2476 of the family's 2925-position model. Lineage: Eukaryota; Metazoa; Chordata; Amphibia; Anura; Microhylidae. The record is from RNAcentral.
CAAAAACAUCGCCUUCUGCAAAAAUAGAAGGUCUAGCCUGCCCAGUGACCAAGUUAAACGGCCGCGGUACCCUAACCGUGCGAAGGUAGCGCAAUCACUUGUUCUUUAAAUGAGGACUAGUAUGAACGGCAUCACGAGGGUUACACUGUCUCCCACCUCUAAUCAGUGAAACUGAUCCCCCCGUGAAGAAGCGGGGAUAAACUUAUAAGACGAGAAGACCCCAUGGAGCUUUAAACUCAGUACCAAUCACCUAUAACCACACCACAAUAACCCGGUGAUCCUGAUUACUAGUUUUAGGUUGGGGUGACCACGGAGCAUAAUUAAACCUCCAUGUUGAAAAACUUCCUCUAAUCCAAGAGUGACAACUCUAAGAAUCAAAAACCGACAUACAUUGACCCAAAUAUUUUGAUCAACGAACCAAGUUACCCUAGGGAUA